This 446-nucleotide ribosomal RNA is filed under the name uncultured bacterium. RNAcentral's name for it is "partial 16S ribosomal RNA". It matches the Rfam family "Bacterial small subunit ribosomal RNA", at positions 338 to 795 of the family's 1533-position model. The record is from RNAcentral.
CCUACGGGGGGCAGCAGUCGAGAAUUAUUCACAAUGGGGGAAACCCUGAUGGUGCGACGCCGCGUGGGGGAAUGAAGGUCUUCGGAUUGUAAACCCCUGUCAUGUGGGAGCAAAUUAAAAAGAUAGUACCACAAGAGGAAGAGACGGCUAACUCUGUGCCAGCAGCCGCGGUAAUACAGAGGUCUCAAGCGUUGUUCGGAAGCACUGGGCGUAAAGCGUGCGUAGGCUGUUUCGUAAGUCGUGUGUGAAAGGCGCGGGCUCAACCCGCGGACGGCACAUGAUACUGCGAGACUAGAGUAAGGGAGGGGGAACCGGAAUUCUCGGUGUAGCAGUGAAAUGCGUAGAUAUCGAGAGGAACACUCGUGGCGAAGGCGGGUUCCUGGACAUUAACUGACGCUGAGGCACGAAGGCCAGGGGAGCGAAAGGGAUUAGAUACCCCUGUAGUC